Molecule: ribosomal RNA, 251 nt
Filed under: uncultured prokaryote
Description: partial 16S rRNA
Rfam family: Bacterial small subunit ribosomal RNA
Source: RNAcentral
ACGGAGGAUGCAAGCGUUAUCCGGAUUUAUUGGGUUUAAAGGGUGCGCAGGCGGAUUUGUAAGUCAGUGGUGAAAGCCUACAGCUCAACUGUAGAAUUGCCAUUGAUACUGCUAAUCUUGAGUAUAGUUGUGGUAGGCGGAAUGUAGCAUGUAGCGGUGAAAUGCUUAGAGAUGCUACAGAACUCCGAUUGCGAAGGCAGCUUACCAAGCUAUGACUGACGCUCAGGCACGAAAGCGUGGGUAGCAAACAG